Molecule: non-coding RNA, 45 nt
Filed under: Schistosoma mansoni
Lineage: Eukaryota; Metazoa; Platyhelminthes; Trematoda; Strigeidida; Schistosomatidae
Source: RNAcentral
AUCCAGCCGAAGAGUCCUAAAUAGGACAAAGCGUGUGUCCAAGAU